Molecule: ribosomal RNA, 1009 nt
Filed under: uncultured bacterium
Lineage: Bacteria
Description: partial 16S ribosomal RNA
Rfam family: Bacterial small subunit ribosomal RNA
Source: RNAcentral
AGAGAUUGAUCCUGGCUCAUAACGAACGCUGGCGGCACGCCUAACACAUGCAAGUCAAGCGCAGUCCUUCGGGACCGAGCGGCGGACGGGUUGGUAACGCGUGGGAACAUACCCUUCUCUACGGAAUAUGCAUUGGAAACGAUGAUUAAUACCGUAUACGCCCUUUGGGGGAAAGAUUUAUCGGAGAAGGAUUGGCCCGCGUGAGAUUAGAUAGUUGGUGAGGUAACGGCUCACCGCCCCCCGAUCUUUAGCUGGUUUGAGAGGAUGAUCAGACUCACUGGGACUGAGACACUGCCCAGACUCCUACGGGAGGCAGCAGUGGGGAAUCUUAGACCAUGGGGGCAACCCUGAUCUAGCGAUGCCGCGUGAGUGAUGAAAGUCCUAGGGCCGCAAAGGUCUUUCGCCUCACAUGAUAAUGACUCUAUCUGGAAAAGAAACCCMGGCUAACUCCGUGCCRGCAGCCGCGRUAAUACGGAGGGSGUUAGCGUUGUUCKGAAUUACUGGGCGURAAGCGCACGUAGGCGGACUGGAMAGUUGKGGGUGAAAUCCCGGKGCUCARCCCCGGAMCUGCCUCCAAAACUUCCAAUCUWGAKAUYGAKAKAGGUGAGUGGAAUUCCAAGWGYAGAGGUSAAAUUYGUMKMUAUUUGGAGGAACACCAGUGGCGAAGGCGGCUCACUGGCUCUAUACUGACGCUGAGGCCGAAAGCGUGGGGAGCAAACAGGAUUAGAUACCCUGGUAGUCCUCGCCGUAAACGAUGAGAGCUAGUCGUCGGGUAGCAUCCUAUUCGGUGCCGCAGUUAACGCAUUAAGCUCUCCGCUUGGGGAGUACGGUCUCAAGAUUAAAACUCAAAGGAAUUGACGGGGUCCCGCUCAAGCGGUGGAGCAUGUGGUUUAAUUCGAUGCUACCCGAAGUUCCUUACCUGGUCUUGACAUGUAGCGAAGGUUUUAGAGAUAGAAUUGCACCUUCGGGACCGCUAACCCAGGUGCGGCAUGGCUGUGGUCAGCUCGUG